This 253-nucleotide ribosomal RNA is filed under the name uncultured bacterium. Its description in RNAcentral is "partial 16S ribosomal RNA". It matches the Rfam family "Bacterial small subunit ribosomal RNA", at positions 524 to 776 of the family's 1533-position model. The record is from RNAcentral.
UACGGGGGGUGCGAGCGUUGCUCGGAAUUAUUGGGCGUAAAGCGUACGCAGGCUGCUCGACAAGUCGAGUGUGAAAUCCCGGGGCUCAACCCCGGACUUGCAUUCGAAACUGUCGGGCUUGAGUGCGGGAGAGGGAAGCGGAAUUCCUGGUGUAGAGGUGAAAUUCGUAGAUAUCAGGAGGAACACCGGUGGCGAAAGCGGCUUCCUGGCCCGAUACUGACGCUCAUGUACGAAAGCGUGGGGAGCAAACAGG